RNAcentral lists this ribosomal RNA (382 nucleotides) under uncultured bacterium. Its description in RNAcentral is "bacterial SSU rRNA". It matches the Rfam family "Bacterial small subunit ribosomal RNA", at positions 29 to 412 of the family's 1533-position model. The record is from RNAcentral.
AUUGAACGCUGGCGGCAUGCUUUACACAUGCAAGUCGAACGGUAACAGGGAGCUUGCUCCGCUGACGAGUGGCGAACGGGUGAGUAAUGCAUCGGAACGUACCCAGUCGUGGGGGAUAACGUAGCGAAAGUUACGCUAAUACCGCAUACGUACCUGAGGGAGAAAGCGGGGGGACCGAAAGGGCCUCGCGCGAUUGGAGCGGCCGAUGUCGGAUUAGCUAGUUGGNGGUAAAGCCUACCAAGGCGACGAUCCGUAGCGGGUCUGAGAGGAUGAUCAGCCACACUGGAACUGAGACACGGUCCAGACUCCUACGGGAGGCAGCAGUAAGGAAUAUUGGACAAUGGGGGAAACCCUGAUCCAGCCAUGCCGCGUGAGUGACGAA